RNAcentral lists this ribosomal RNA (468 nucleotides) under uncultured bacterium. RNAcentral's name for it is "partial 16S ribosomal RNA". It matches the Rfam family "Bacterial small subunit ribosomal RNA", at positions 28 to 507 of the family's 1533-position model. The record is from RNAcentral.
GACGAACGCUGGCGGCGUGCUUAACACAUGCAAGUCGAACGGAAAGGCCCUGCUUUUUGGGGUUGCUCGAGUGCCAAACGGGUGAUUAACCCGUGAUUACCCUGCCCUUGAUUUUGGGUUACCUUCAGGAAACUGGGGCUAUUACCGGAUAGGAGUCCCUGCGCCUGGGUGGGGGUGGGAAAGUUUGGGCGGUUGGGGAUGGACUCGCGGCUUAUCAGCUUGUUGGUGGGGUAGUGGCUUACCAAGGCUUUGACGGGUAGCCGGCCUGAGAGGGUGACCGGCCACAUUGGGACUGAGAUACGGCCCAGACUCCUACGGGAGGCAGCAGUGGGGAAUAUUGCACAAUGGGCGGAAGCCUGAUGCAGCAACGCCGCGUGCGGGAUGACGGCCUUCGGGUUGUAAACCGCUUUCGCCUGUGACGAAGCGUGAGUGACGGUAAUGGGUAAAGAAGCACCGGCUAACUACGUG